RNA transcript from Marmota monax (woodchuck), 5970 nucleotides. It is a transcript of the gene named TAR DNA binding protein, with no coding region annotated. The transcript has 8 exons. The record is from RefSeq and is a predicted model, not a curated record. NCBI's taxonomy places the organism in Eukaryota, Metazoa, Chordata, Mammalia, Rodentia, Sciuridae.
GGAGAGGACGACGGCCGGCGGGGGGGAGGAGGCGGCCCUAGCGCCAUUUUGUGGGAACGUAGAGGUAGCUGGGCUGCUCUCGGAUCCCUCGCUGCUUCAGUUUCGGAGUCGCGCUUCCUAGCAGCGGCCUAGCGGAGAAGUAAGAAAAGAUGUCUGAAUAUAUUCGGGUAACGGAAGAUGAGAAUGAUGAGCCCAUUGAAAUACCAUCAGAAGAUGAUGGGACAGUGCUGCUGUCCACAGUUACAGCCCAGUUUCCAGGGGCAUGUGGGCUGCGCUACAGGAAUCCAGUGACCCAGUGUAUGAGAGGUGUUCGCCUAGUAGAAGGAAUUCUGCAUGCCCCUGAUGCUGGUUGGGGAAACCUGGUAUACGUUGUCAACUAUCCCAAAGAUAACAAAAGGAAAAUGGAUGAGACAGAUGCUUCAUCGGCAGUGAAAGUGAAAAGAGCAGUCCAAAAAACAUCUGAUUUAAUAGUAUUGGGUCUCCCGUGGAAAACAACCGAACAGGACCUGAAAGAGUAUUUUAGUACCUUUGGAGAAGUUCUUAUGGUGCAGGUCAAGAAAGAUAUUAAAACUGGUCAUUCAAAAGGGUUUGGCUUUGUACGAUUUACAGAAUAUGAAACCCAGGUGAAAGUAAUGUCACAGCGACAUAUGAUAGACGGACGAUGGUGUGACUGUAAACUCCCCAAUUCUAAGCAAAGCCCGGAUGAGCCUUUGAGAAGCAGAAAGGUGUUUGUUGGGCGCUGUACGGAGGACAUGACUGCUGAUGAGCUGCAGCAGUUCUUCUGUCAGUAUGGAGAAGUGGUAGAUGUCUUCAUUCCCAAACCAUUCAGGGCUUUUGCCUUUGUUACAUUUGCAGAUGAUCAGGUUGCCCAGUCUCUUUGUGGAGAGGACUUGAUCAUUAAAGGAAUCAGCGUGCAUAUAUCCAAUGCUGAACCUAAGCACAAUAGCAAUAGGCAGUUAGAGAGAAGUGGAAGAUUUGGUGGUAAUCCAGUUCAUCUCAUUUCAAAUGUUUAUGGAAGAAGCACUUCAUUGAAAGUAGUGCUGUAAAUAUUCUGCCAUAGGAAUGCUUCUGUCUACAUGCUUUCUCAUUCAAGAAUUCGUCAUCACGCUGCACAGGCUGCGUCUUUGACGCCCUGAAUGCAAAGAAUUCAUAGCAGUUAAUUCCCCUUUUUUGACCCUUUUGAGAUGGAACUUUCAUAAAGUUUCUUGGCAGUAGUUUAUUUUGCUUCAAAUAAACUUAUUUGAAAAGUUGUCUCAAGUCAAAUGGAUUCAUCACCUGUCAUGCAUUGACACCUGAUACCCAGACUUAAUUGCUAUUUGUUCUUGCAUUGUCCAAAGUGAAAAGUUUUUCUUUUUUUCUUUUUUCUUUUUUUAAUCUAGUUUUUAAUAAGUCUGGGUGACCGCACCUAAAAUGGUAAGCAGUACCCUCCAGCUUUUUCUUAGUGCCUCUGUGCAUUUGGGUGAUGUUCUAUUUACAUGGCCUGUAUAAAUCUCCAUUGGGAAAUGCCUUCUAAAAAUAUUCUUGUUUGGGAGAGUGGGCAAAACAUUAUUUUCAAAUGCUUUGUAGCAAAGCCUAUCAAUUGAAAAGAAGGGACUAUCAGUACCUUUCUGUUUGGGAUUGAAAAGUGGAAUUAAUUGCAAUAGGGAUAAAGUAGAAGAAACCACAAAUUACCUUGUGCCUGAAAUCCAUUAAGAAGCCUGAUAGCUUUAAGAACCAGUAGGGUGGGUUGUCUGUCUGUGGAAGUGUUAAGUGAAGUGGGCUUUGCCCUCCAAGGGAGGGAAGUAUAAUAAUGUUGAAUAAACUCGCUUACAGAACUCAGAUUAGACUCUCACAAUGCAUUGUUAAGAAUGUAAAAGCAAUAAUAUAUAUUGAUUCUUUAUUGUACUUUUAUGUAAAUGCUAAUCCUGUGAGAAUUAAGGAUCUCGUUUUCUAACUGGAAGAAUGUGACAGUUUUUGUGUUGGUAGUUUACCUGAUGCCCUUACCUACUUAGAUUACCAUAAAUAGGUUUGUCAUUUUGCAAGUUGAGUGUUUUAAACAUUUAUAAAUGAAAUCAUCCUUUAGACUGUGAUUGCCACAUUGUUUUGUUAUGCAGUUUCCUCUGUAAAAGGAUCUUGAGUUGUUUUAAUAUUUUUCUGCAUCUGAAUCUGCAUGAUUUCCAAACCCUGUACCAUCUGAAUUUUGCAUUUUAGCACUUGCACUAUUACUCAGCAGCAGUAACAUGGUAACACUUAAAAUGGUAUUCGGGGACCUCCAAAGACUAAACUGACAAGCCUUCAAGGAGCCCAGGGGUAAGUUAACUUAUCGAUGGCAUGGUUUUAAUACCUUAUUUACACUUGUUAAAGCUAGUUGCUGGUCAUAGAAGGCUUUCAAUGUUGAGUAGCCUUUUAUUUAACAUGUUUAUGAUACUACAUAGUGGGUAGUUAUUCUACCCUUAAAAAAAAAAUUAAAGUUUAGAAGUACUUAAACUAUUUGGCAAAGAUUUGUUUUUAAAAGUCUUAUUUGGUCAUCUAAAUGCAUUCAUUCUAAAAAUUUUUUUGAACCACAGUUGAAUAAAAAUUUUAUUGUCACCACAGUUUAGUGUCUGGAGUCUUACUGGAAAAACAUGAUUUCUUUUUCCUAUGUGACAAAGAUGCUGGAAAGUUACCUUUAAAAAGUGAUUAUCAAGAAAUUACACUUUAUAUGAACAAGAGAAAUUAGACCUAAAGUCAAGAGUGAAUUUUCAUAUAAUGUUAACUAACUAUAUUGAAAAACUUAAUUAAAUAUUUACUGUUAAAUUUUUUAAGGAAGAAGGCUGGGGAUGUUACUCCGGCAGAGCAUUUGCCUCACAUGCAUGAAGCUCUCGGUUCAGUCUCCAGCAGUGCAAAAUAAAUAAAUAAAUAAAUAAAAAGUUUUAGGGAUAGCCAACUAAAAUUAAAUUUUAAGGUUAAAUCAGCACCUGUAUUUCCGUAGUAGGAACAGUAGGAAGUUACACAGUAAUUCAGUUGCAUCUGAUAAUUAGAAUUUUUAUUAUUACACACAGGAGAGUAUCUCUGAAUUGAAUAAUAGAACUGUCUACUCAGCUAUGGUAGAAUUUGUCUAUUGUUAAGCUUACCUGUGCCCGAAAAUUUUGUGUUCAGUUAAGGAAAAGGGGGAAAAAAAAAAAAAAACUUCAGAUUUAUCUAUAAUAUGACCACUUGUUUCUAGUACAUUUCAUUUUGUGGAAAUACCAGAUUUUAUUUAGACAGUAUUCUGAAGUUGAACAUUAUUUAGGUUAUUUCCAAUUGCUAGGAACAUCUUAUCUACCUGGGGGAAAAAUGAUUUUUCAAAGUUGCUCCCCUAAAACCCAUAGUCCUAUAAUAUAUAAAGCACUCUUUGAGAUCAGUAAGAACAAGUGGAAAAUAGACAAGCAAUUUGCAGAAAUGCAAACAACUAGUAUGAAAAGGUGGGCUUUGUAAGUAAAUGCAUCUUAAGCAGUGAGUUAUAUUGGGGUGGUGAAGGUGAAUGUCAUUGUAAUACUGUGAUGGUUUAUGUCCCCUUCAAUCAACAAGUAAGGGUGGCAUUAUACUAUUAAAUGGAUUAGUACCUGUAACAGUGUCACCUGGAGUUUGGGUUAUUUUGUGUGUGUGGUGGCGGGGGGGCGGUAGCUGCUAUGUCACAUUACUGCUAAGAUCUUUUACAAGGUUCUAAAAAUGACUCAUUUACUGAUUGAACACAUGCAAAUUAUUAAUUAUGUUCUCAAUCCAGGGAAUAUAGUUAAUGACUUUCGUGUACACCCCAUACUGACCUGCUUCCCCACAAUUAACAGAACCCCAAGACACUAAUCCCCCUACAAACCAAGUCUCUGUCUUGUUGUCUAGAAAUACUAGUGCCCCUCCACUGUCACCUCUGCAGCUAUCCUUGCCUCCAGUUUCUAAGCCAGCACAAAGCAUGUUAUCAGUUACCCUUCCCCCUGGAUACUGCUUUUCAUAGGCAGCAGUACAUUUUUGAUGGUCAGCAAUUGGUAUGUCGACAAACAUUAGAUUUCUAGCAAGAAAACCCCUUUGGGUUAAUCCCCAACCAGAUGCUGUUCCAAUGUCAUUUGUCCUUAUCAAAAAUUCAGCUUCUUUUCCUGGCAGACAAAUAGGCAUGAUGUUGCUAUUGAUUACAACUUUGUUCUUCAAUUUAAUCAGUGCUAUGUCAUUGUCGAAACCAGCCUCAUGAGUGUAACCUUCAUGUAUAAAAACAGCCUCAGCCCAGGCUUUUGUGUAGUUAUGCGAUAGUCUAUUCAGGAUGCCCAUUCGAAUGUCCAGGGAAGAUACCUCUUCUUUUUGCCCAUAUAUGGCGUGAGCAGCUGUUAGAAUCCAGUUGUCAUAUAAAAGUGCACCUGCUGCUGUAGUUUGACCUAGUAACAGGACUUGCCAGGGGAAAUCACCAGGCUGUGCCCUUUGCCCUCCAUAUAUACGACCUCUUGUAGUCCGGGCUGAUAGUCCACACACUGGGGAAGAAGCAGUGAGAGAGACUUUGUAAAAAUCCAGUGGGGCUUUUUUUCCAAGUUUUUACCACUUUGGUGGUGGUUGUGUGUUUAAUGUCAGCCAAAAAUUAGGUCCUACAAGUAGGAGUGUUUCCUUACAUAGGUGCGUAAGACUAUUCUAAAAUAGCACAAUUCAAAGUUGUAAAUAAUUUUGGUAUUUCUUAGUUCCUCAGGAAAUUGUGAGUGAAAUUUAAAUUUUGGAAAUAAUUUUUUUUUUUUUACUAAAAGAAUUUGGUCUAUAAGAUUUGGGGAGCUGUGUGCAGUGCACAUGCCUAGAAUCUCAGCAACUCAGGAGAUCCAAGACUAGCCUGAGCAGCUUCACCCCUGUCUCAGAAAAUAAAAAGGGCUGGGAUGUGUCUCAAUGGGAGAGUGCCCCAGGUUCCAUCCCAGUACCAUCCAGGACCCUUCGGGUCAGAAGUUAUUAUUUGUGGUCUGGUUGAUUCUUCCAAACACUGAAUCUUACUGUGUCCUUAUUGCAGAUUAAUUAUGCUCAUUAAUGUAGCAUAUGUUUCCCGUUAUGGCAGUAUACUUGUAUUAAACUCACAAACGUUGUGUCUGCCAAGUAUAGGUUUAAAAAAAACAAUUUAAGCCAAAUAACAGAGGGGUAAUGAAUAUAUUAUUACCUUUCAGAUUUUUUUUAAAAAAAUCAUUCUCAACUAUUAUUGUUAGAGCCAAUUCUGGUUAAAAAAAAAAUUAAGCACUAUUAAAAAGCAAAUUGCAUUAAUGUUUAAAAACCUAGAUGUCAUUGAAAACAAUUGCUUAGGGAAAUAAUGAAGUUAUUAGCUUUGGGUUUUAAUAGCAUUUUUACAGAGAAGGAAAGUAACAACAGAAGAACUCGUGUUUAUAAAUGUAUAAAUGGUUCAAGAUAAUUUAAAAAAUCAUUUAAUUUUUUAUGCUUGCCUAGUUAUAAGGUCAAAAAUAAUCAAAUGACUGAUGCAGUCAGCACUGCACAACCUCUCUGUGUGGAAAGGGGAUAAUGAGAACAGAUUAUUUGGAAAUAAUAACUUGGUCUAAGAGCCAAGUGCUAAAGUUUCAUUUCUGCCUACCACAGCUAAAGCACUUCUUAUUGUCUCCCACCCAGUUCUCCUUUCCGUCAAUUAUGAAUCUUGUAUAAAUGUGUCCAUUACCAGGCUCACAGACUGGGAGUGAUUUUUCUCCUUUGGAGCUCGUCCAGAAUCCAUCAGCCUCACAUACAUAUUUACCUGCAAAUCAUUGGAAAAGCAAAAAUGUUUAACUGCAUGUAUAAGUUGGUUGUCAUUUGCUUGAAUACCCCCUUGAAAAAUGUUGAUUCUUGAGCAUCUGUGGGAGGUAGAGGUGUCUGACUAACCAUUUUACAUGAUUUCAUAAAUAGGAGGUCUCUGCAUUACCAUGUUUGCUUGCAAAGUGGAAACCUUUUAGAUGUGUAACUUGAAUAUGUAUCAAGAUCUCAAGUGCUUAAUGAUAACGUUUUGACUUGUUAAAUUAAACCAUUUGGAAUAUA